RNAcentral lists this ribosomal RNA (497 nucleotides) under uncultured bacterium. Its description in RNAcentral is "partial 16S ribosomal RNA". It matches the Rfam family "Bacterial small subunit ribosomal RNA", at positions 28 to 507 of the family's 1533-position model. The record is from RNAcentral.
GAUGAACGCUGGCGGCGUGCCUGAUACAUGCAAGUCGAGCGAACGGACGAGAAGCUUGCUUCUCUGAUGUUAGCGGCGGACGGGUGAGUAACACGUGGAUAACCUACCUAUAAGACUGGGAUAACUUCGGGAAACCGGAGCUAAUACCGGAUAAUAUUUUGAACCGCAUGGUUCAAAAGUGAAAGACGGUCUUGCUGUCACUUAUAGAUGGAUCCGCGCUGCAUUAGCUAGUCGGUAAGGUAACGGCUUACCAAGGCAACGAUGCAUAGCCGACCUGAGAGGGUGAUCGGCCACACUGGAACUGAGACACGGUCCAGACUCCUACGGGAGGCAGCAGUAGGGAAUCUUCCGCAAUGGGCGAAAGCCUGACGGAGCAACGCCGCGUGAGUGAUGAAGGUCUUCGGAUCGUAAAACUCUGUUAUUAGGGAAGAACAUAUGUGUAAGUAACUGUGCACAUCUUGACGGUACCUAAUCAGAAAGCCACGGCUAACUACGUG